GAAAGAGGCCUGCCAGCAACAAUGACUGCUAAUCCUUGUACCCUCGGUUGAAUUCCGGAGCUCUUUUA
This 68-nucleotide transfer RNA is filed under the name Periophthalmus minutus (minute mudskipper). RNAcentral describes it as "tRNA-Ser". Lineage: Eukaryota; Metazoa; Chordata; Actinopteri; Gobiiformes; Gobiidae. The record is from RNAcentral.